This 440-nucleotide ribosomal RNA is filed under the name uncultured bacterium. Its description in RNAcentral is "partial 16S ribosomal RNA". It matches the Rfam family "Bacterial small subunit ribosomal RNA", at positions 338 to 795 of the family's 1533-position model. The record is from RNAcentral.
CCUACGGGUGGCAGCAGUGGGGAAUAUUGGACAAUGGAGGAAACCCUGAUCCAGCGACGCCGCGUGAAGGAAGAAGGAUUUCGGUAUGUAAAGCUCUUUUAGCAGGGAAGAAAAUGACGGUACCUGUCUCAGAAUCACCGGCUAACUACGUGCCAGCAGCCGCGGUAAUACGUAGGAGGCAAGCGUUAUCCGGAUUUACUGGGUGUAAAGGGGGCGUAGACGGCGUGGCAAGUCAGAAGUGAAAUCCCAUGGCUUAACCUUGGAACUGCUUUUGAAACUGUGCAGCUGGAGUGCAGGAGAGGUAAGCGGAAUGCCUAGUGUAGCGGUGAAAUGCGUAGAUAUUAGGAGGAACACCAGUGGCGAAGGCGGCUUACUGGACUGUAACUGACGUUGAGGCACGAAAGCGUGGGGAGCAAACAGGAUUAGAUACCCCAGUAGUC